ACUUCCGGGGUCGCAAAGUUUUUGACGCUAGAUGUGUUUUGUGAGUUUUAGCCAUUCAAGAAAAUAGUAAAGCUGAGGCUUGAGGAAACUUUAGGCAGUUUGCCCAGCUGUAUAAAGAGUGAGAUGAUGAGUUUGGGCACUCCUUGCGCAUCUAUGUGCCCAGCCCUCAAAAUAAUGGAACAACAACAAAAACCGUGCCUGGAUUAGUUUACGUUUUACUUGAGGGAAACCUAAAAUGAGCAUACAAAUAAAUUAUGGUGAGCUACAGAGUAAGACAUGGUAUGGAAAAAAAAUAGAACAGGAUAAAAGAAGAUGAAGAGACAUUCAUCUUUUUGAGACGGAGCCUUGCUUUAAUGCCCAGGCUGGAGUGCAGUGGCACGAUCUCCGAUCACUGCAAACUCCUCCUCCUGAGUAGCUGGGACUACAAACACGUGCCACCAUGCCCGGCUAAUUUUUGUAUUUUUGCAGAGAUGGAGUUUCACCAUGUUGGCCAGGCUGGUCUUGUACUCUUGAUUUCAGGUGAUCUGUCCGCCCUGGACUCCCAAAGUACGUUGCAAUUUUAAAUAGGAUUCUCAGAGUAGGCUUCAUUGAAAACGUUACAUUGAGCCAAGGUUUGAAGGAGGUAAUGGGCUAAACUAGUUAUCUGAGGGAAGAGCUGUUAAUCUGAGAAAAGCUGGUUAUCAAGGAGAAAAGCUGUCCUGGCAAAGCAAACAGCCAGCUCCAAUGCUCCUAGUCAGUAGCAAGCCAGGAAAGGCAAGAAGUGUUGAGAUUGGACAGGUGGUGUAGAGUUUUGUAAGGACUUUGGCUUUUAUUUUAUGUGAGAUGAAGAUCUCUUAUAGAAUUUUGAGGAAAAGAAUGGUAUGAUCUUAACAUCUUAAAAGUAUCAGGCUGGUGCAGUGGCCCAUGCCUGUAAUUUUAGCACUUUGGGAGGCCAAGGCAGGAGGAUUGCUUGAGCCUGGGAGUUCAAGACCAGCUUUGGCAACACUGUGAGACCCCAUGUCUACAAAAAGUAAAAAAAUAUAUAUAUCUGUUUGGGCAUGGUGUACAUCUGUGGUCCCAGCUACUCAGGAGGCUGAGGCAGUAGGAUCCAUUGAGCCUGGAAGGCUAGGUUGCAAUGAGCCAUGUUGGUGCCACUGCAUUCCAGCCUGGGUGAGAGGGUGAGACCCUCUCAAAAAAAUAAAUAAAAAUAAAGUAAAAGCGUCAUUCAGAAUCUUCUUUUGAGAAGAGCCUAUGCAGGGGCAGGGUGUGUGGAAGAAGGGAAGAAAUGAUAGUGGCCUGAACCAGGGUAAGUCUUGUGUAGGUGGUUGAGAAGUGAUUCCUCUGGAAGGUAAAGUUACUGAUGGAACUGAAGGGAGGACAUGAAAGAGUCAAGGAUGACUCCAAGACUUUCGACCUGAGUGAUUCAAAGGAUGGAGUUACCAUCAGGUGAAAUGCGGGAAAGUUCAGAUGGAACAAAUCUGAGAGGCGUUUUACUUUUUUCAGGAGACCCUAAACUUGGCCAUGAUGGUAAAGGAUGCAAGGACAAUCCUCCAAAUAUUUUCCAGGUAGCUUGAUUGCUACCAACAAGGUGAGCCAUUUAGAUAAAUGGGAAUUUUUAUGCCUGUUAAUAUUUCCAGAAAGUGCAUAGUUCCACACGAGUCUUCUCAGUUGAUCCAAAUUUCUGAGCAGAGAAAGAGCAGGGCAACAAUCACAUUGCAGUUUCACUAAAAUAUCAUCUCUUAAAAGAAUUUCUGGUUGUAUGAGUCCAUCAAAGGAGCUUCUAUUUAUAUCUUUGGAAUGUGUAUGGUGCCUCUGGCUGGUGUUUCUGACUAUAGGACUAUAGAUCAACCAUAAAUAUAAUUUAAAUAUCAAUCUGGAAUGGCUUUUUGGUGUCUAAGUAUUUAUUUUGUUGAUUUAUUCAUUAAGCAAAUAUUUCAGUCAUUCUUGUCCUCUGGAUGUAGCAGUCAAAAAGACACCACUCCCUGCCCCUGAGGAAUUCCAGUACACUAGCAAGUGCAAAAAAGAGGUUAUUUAACUGCCAUCUUGUUGUAUAAUCAAGAACAAAUUUAGAAUUACAACUUCCUAGUGCCUUCUUCAAAGAGCCAGAGUAGGUAUAUUUGUAAGUUCCUUUUUGGUAGUUCAGUUAUAUAUUUUCCACAGAAAUUCACCUAUGUGUAGUGAUUAGAUUAUCCAGUCCAGAGACACAAAUAUUUAAAACACAAGGUAAUAAAGCAUAGUCCUUAGCUUAGUCUAGUAGUCCUCAAAUUUUUUGUCUUAUAACCUCCGCACAUUAUUAAAAAUUAUUGAGGACACCCAAAGAGCUUUUGUUUGUGUGGGUUAUAUCUGUUAAUAUUUGCCAUGUAGACCUUAAAACUGAGAAAAAAUUAAAU
This 2369-nucleotide long non-coding RNA is filed under the name Homo sapiens (human). Its description in RNAcentral is "non-protein coding lnc-GNG5-1:6". The record is from RNAcentral. Lineage: Eukaryota; Metazoa; Chordata; Mammalia; Primates; Hominidae.